RNAcentral lists this ribosomal RNA (253 nucleotides) under uncultured bacterium. RNAcentral's name for it is "partial 16S ribosomal RNA". It matches the Rfam family "Bacterial small subunit ribosomal RNA", at positions 524 to 776 of the family's 1533-position model. The record is from RNAcentral.
UACGUAGGGGGCAAGCGUUGUCCGGAAUUAUUGGGCGUAAAGCGCGCGCAGGCGGUUCUUUAAGUCUGAUGUGAAAGCCCACGGCUCAACCGUGGAGGGUCAUUGGAAACUGGGGGACUUGAGUGCAGAAGAGGAAAGCGGAAUUCCACGUGUAGCGGUGAAAUGCGUAGAGAUGUGGAGGAACACCAGUGGCGAAGGCGGCUUUCUGGUCCGGUUCUGACGCUGAGGCGCGAAAGCGUGGGGAGCAAACAGG